CAUCGACCGGGAAACGAACCCGGGCCGCCUGCGUGGCAGGCGAGCAUUCUACCACUGAACCACCGGAU
RNAcentral lists this transfer RNA (68 nucleotides) under Teladorsagia circumcincta. Its description in RNAcentral is "tRNA-Gly". The record is from RNAcentral. Lineage: Eukaryota; Metazoa; Nematoda; Chromadorea; Rhabditida; Trichostrongylidae.